Xiphias gladius (swordfish) is the source of this 1213-nucleotide long non-coding RNA. RefSeq lists it as uncharacterized. Lineage: Eukaryota; Metazoa; Chordata; Actinopteri; Istiophoriformes; Xiphiidae. The record is from RefSeq and is a predicted model, not a curated record. The transcript is spliced from 6 exons.
CCGGACUCCUUCCCACUCCUUCCCCUAACGCGCGCUUACUGUCCACUUUCACUGGAGACCGACUGCAACAAGCUCAGUUUUUUCCAGCUUUUUUUUUGCUUGCCAUUCUUUGCUUUUGGUUAUGCCCUAAUGUACGGAGGCAGUACCACACAGACGCUUCACCCCUACUAUGCGUGGCGCCCCUGAAAAACGUAGGCCAUGGACUGUCCCUGCGUUAGACUGCAUGCCACAAACUGCUUGUCCUUUCCUGUAAACAGUUUUUUCUAUUCUUCUGCAGUAUUUUUUUUUUCAACUCAAAACUCGACUUCUGUUUAGAAACCUUUUUUAAAAUCUCAUCUGUAUUCUAAAGCAGGAGCUGAGGGUUGAAGAAAAAGAAAAGAGUGUCUGAUGAAUGGACAGAUGAAGGGGACAGAGGCAAAGAAUGAGGGGAAAAUGGAGAGCGUGGUCUGCGGGAGAAAGUGAGAAAGACAGAGAGAGAGAGAGAGAGAGAGAGAGAGGUAGGAGAAAGAGUACCGGCACUGGCAAGAAAAACGGGAGGGGGAAAAGAGGAGAAGGGGGACCAGUAGGGAAUAGACUUAGGAAGGAGGGUCGGCUGGAUAGGAAUUGACAAAAUCGCGGGAAAAAGGAGAAAAAACAAAACUCCAGGAUGAGAAGAACGUGGACUUCUCAACAAACUCAGACACGCAGUCUCUGGUCGCCUUUCAUUUUUGUUUUUUGACAUGAUUUUUCAUCACUUCUCCGGUCACCCUCCCAUUCAUCUAUUGAGCCCUGGAGACAACCUGAUCUUUUUCAUUGAAGAUGUGAUUUUUAUCAGGCCGAGGGCUUUCAUACCAGCUAUCAGUAUUCCUGAGUGAAGGAGUUUGCAGAGUCUCACCUCUUCAUUGGCUGACAGCGGGGGUGACAGACAGACCCCCAGGAAUGCGGUGGUCAACCAUAGAAGCUCCCCAGUGAGAAGAGAGCCAUGGGAAAAACCUCAAACUAGAUCCCGGUUGUGAGGGCGUGAUCCAGUCCAGUUUAUGCAGACGUGUCAAGAUGAAACAUUUCACAUCAGACUGCAUCGGCAUCGGUAACAAACAACGGUGACCAGCCCACAGGGGUUUACAAGACAACAGAAGUACCGUUGCACUAGUGAAAAAGGGGUGCAAAGAAAUAAGAUCUGCCACAAAAGAGAUUCCUUUCAUUGAACACAACUAAAGUUUUUUAUAAUCUUCCA